GCAAGUCGAACGAGAAAGCACCUUCGGGUGUGAGUAGAGUGGCGCACGGGUGAGUAAUACAUGGGAACGUACCUUUGGGGUGGGGGAUAACCAUCGGAAACGGUGGCUAAUACCGCGUAAUGUCGCAAGACCAAAAGUGGCCUCUACUUGUAAGCUACUGCCCUAAGAUCGGCCCAUGUCCCAUUAGCUUGUUGGCGGGGUAAAGGCCCACCAAGGCUACGAUGGGUAGCUGGUCUGAGAGGAUGAUC
RNAcentral lists this ribosomal RNA (248 nucleotides) under uncultured bacterium. Its description in RNAcentral is "partial 16S ribosomal RNA". It matches the Rfam family "Bacterial small subunit ribosomal RNA", at positions 57 to 305 of the family's 1533-position model. The record is from RNAcentral.